CUCGGUCCCUGGGUGCGUUGGGCAGUAGCAGGCGUACUGUCUAGGGGACGGCUGCUCCGCUUUUGCACCCUCCUCUAGGAGGAGAAGGUGUAUGUGGAAUAGGAGGUUGAGGAGGCGGUGACCGUGGCGGCGACGACGCAUUCGGAUAUCUGCCCUAUCAACUUUCGAUGUUACUUUCUGCUCCUACCAUGGUGACCACGGGUAACUGGAAAUCAGGUUUCGAUUCCGGAGAGCUACCACAUCCAAGGAAGGCAGCAGGUGCACAAAUUACCCACUCCCGACGCCGGGAGGUAGUGACG
Non-coding RNA from Pelobates cultripes (western spadefoot toad), 299 nucleotides. The record is from the annotation of a GenBank genome assembly. NCBI's taxonomy places the organism in Eukaryota, Metazoa, Chordata, Amphibia, Anura, Pelobatidae.